CCUGAUUAGAGACUUGUUAAGCUGGGAAGCCUAACUCCGUCGUCGUGGCAGAUGUGCGGAGACUGUGGGAGCGAUUGAUUGAGCCAGAUUUGAGAUGGAACUGCCAAAAGGCGAUGAUAACGAUCUGUGACUUUGCAGAUUAGCAGAGGCAGGGACUUUGUUCUGAGCACAACAUUAUUAAGCAGAGUCGGAGCUGACGAGAGGUGGUUGGUUGGAUGGAUGGAUGGAUGAUUAUAUCGCAUUAAUCCAAUCAGUAAAUAAUCCGGUUUGACUAACUACUCCUGGUUAACAAGAGAGAUUACGCCUUGUAAUUGAGCCGGAUUCAGUGUCUUUUUUGGUAUGUACUUCAUCAUCCAGCUUCUCUCCUCACCUGAGGACACCGCUGCUUCCUACAACGCUACCUGAUCCGAUGGUGGUAAAUUCUGUUGUUGUCUGGAUGGAUGUUUGGUAUUUCUCUCUUUUCUAAGUUUAGGAGGGAGGAUUUGUGCGCCUCCCACACGGGCAGAAAUACGGGCAGAGGAGACACUGCACAAAUACGCAGAUUGGCAUCUGACAACUGUCAGAAAUGACGUUUGCAAUUUUAUCCAGCUUAAAGUUUCUUUACAUGAAACUCGAGUUGUUUGACUAACCUGACCUUCAACUAAAUUGUUUUUGGCCAAGUUAAUUUGCAAAUGGCAAUCCCUUGCAUGUCAUCCGUAUGUAUGUAUAAAUAUGUACAUACAUACAUACUUGACUGCAGCCUGAAAUAACAUUCGUCCUGCAUAUGCAAUCCCACAUAAAAUCUGCGCUUCUGAUACGCUUCGUUCCUUCCUUGAAAUGGAGGUAAACAGGACAGAAAAUUCCUUCUUGACAUCGUUCACAAAGUUAAUACUCUUGCCAUUUGGUGUUUACAUUGGACGGGAUGCAGGCGAGGCAACAAAGAUGAUCGGAUUCCACUAAAAAUAAUGGGAUCAGAUGCAGUGUCAGUUAUGGAGCUCCUGUCCCACACAUGUCUUCUCUUGGAAGUUGGUCCAGCAGGAGAGACGACGGUGCAGUUAUCUUUAUUGCCAUCCACGGAGGAGGAGAUGUGGAGCAAAUCUCCGAGAAAACCUUGGGAAAGCAUCCAAAACAAAACAUUGAAGAAAGCAAUGUGUGCGGGGGCUCACGUUUAUCGCAACGCAAAGUUUUCGUUGCACUUGUUUGUUUAUUAUGCUAACACAAAUUUCUGCACUCAAACACCCACAACUUUUAACUUUGUAUCUGUCAUAACACACAAAACUAAUAAAAUGUUGAAGGAUUUUGACAUAAAUUGAA
Long non-coding RNA from Folsomia candida, 1293 nucleotides. RefSeq lists it as uncharacterized. The transcript is spliced from 3 exons. The record is from RefSeq and is a predicted model, not a curated record. NCBI's taxonomy places the organism in Eukaryota, Metazoa, Arthropoda, Collembola, Entomobryomorpha, Isotomidae.